GCGUCAUUGGUGUAACAGCAGCAUGUCGGUCUUCCAAACCGCGGGUGCCGGGGCAGAUCCGGCAUGGCGCACCA
This 74-nucleotide transfer RNA is filed under the name Verrucomicrobium spinosum DSM 4136 = JCM 18804. RNAcentral describes it as "tRNA-Gly (TCC) (tRNA-Gly-TCC-2-1)". It matches the Rfam family "tRNA". From Rfam's summary of the family: Transfer RNA (tRNA) molecules are approximately 80 nucleotides in length. Their secondary structure includes four short double-helical elements and three loops (D, anti-codon, and T loops). The record is from RNAcentral. Lineage: Bacteria; Pseudomonadati; Verrucomicrobiota; Verrucomicrobiia; Verrucomicrobiales; Verrucomicrobiaceae.